Molecule: ribosomal RNA, 120 nt
Filed under: uncultured bacterium
Lineage: Bacteria
Description: partial 16S ribosomal RNA
Rfam family: Bacterial small subunit ribosomal RNA
Source: RNAcentral
CACGCCGUAAACGAUGGAUGCUAAUUGUUUGGGGUAUCGACCCCUCGAGUAAUAAAGCUAACGCGUUAAGCAUCCCGCCUGUGGAGUACGGCCGCAAGGCUAAAACAUAAAGGAAUUGAC